GUCUACAGCCAUGCCACCCUGAAUAAGCCCAAUCCCGUCUGAUCUUGGAAGCUAAGCAGGGCCGGGCUUGGUUAGUACUUGAAUGGGAGAUCAUCUAGAAAGACCAGGUGCUGUAAGCA
RNAcentral lists this ribosomal RNA (119 nucleotides) under Pteropus alecto (black flying fox). The record is from RNAcentral. Lineage: Eukaryota; Metazoa; Chordata; Mammalia; Chiroptera; Pteropodidae.